GAGUCCGUAGCUUAGUUUGGUGGAGCACUUGACUGAUAAUCAAGAGGUCGUGGGUUCAAAUCCCAUCGGACUCA
RNAcentral lists this transfer RNA (74 nucleotides) under Candidatus Woesearchaeota archaeon. RNAcentral describes it as "tRNA-Ile". It matches the Rfam family "tRNA". Rfam says of the family: Transfer RNA (tRNA) molecules are approximately 80 nucleotides in length. Their secondary structure includes four short double-helical elements and three loops (D, anti-codon, and T loops). Lineage: Archaea; Nanobdellati; Candidatus Woesearchaeota. The record is from RNAcentral.